RNAcentral lists this ribosomal RNA (492 nucleotides) under uncultured bacterium. RNAcentral describes it as "partial 16S ribosomal RNA". It matches the Rfam family "Bacterial small subunit ribosomal RNA", at positions 29 to 507 of the family's 1533-position model. The record is from RNAcentral.
AGUGAACGCUGGCGGUAGGCCUAACACAUGCAAGUCGAACGGCAGCACAGUAAGAGCUUGCUCUUACGGGUGGCGAGUGGCGGACGGGUGAGGAAUACAUCGGAAUCUACUUUUUCGUGGGGGAUAACGUAGGCAAACUUACGCUAAUACCGCAUACGACCUACGGGUGAAAGCAGGGGAUCCUCGGACCUUGCGCGAUUGAAUGAGCCGAUGUCGGAUUAGCUAGUUGGCGGGGUAAAGGCCCACCAAGGCGACGAUCCGUAGCUGGUCUGAGAGGAUGAUCAGCCACACUGGAACUGAGACACGGUCCAGACUCCUACGGGAGGCAGCAGUGGGGAAUAUUGGACAAUGGGCGCAAGCCUGAUCCAGCCAUACCGCGUGGGUGAAGAAGGCCUUCGGGUUGUAAAGCCCUUUUGUUGGGAAAGAAAAGCAGCAGGUUAAUACCCCGCUGUUCUGACGGUACCCAAAGAAUAAGCACCGGCUAACUUCGUG